AUGGGUAACCAAUUGUGGAACACAGCAAUAGAGAAUGGAUGGAAACCAAUUGGAAACAUCAAUGACCAACACAUCCAGGAGCUCGGACGUUGGGCGGUGUUGGAGUUCGGCAAGCACGUGAACUGCGUGCUCAAGUUCAACAAGGUGGUGAGUGGCAGGCAACAACUUGUUUCUGGAAUGAACUACAAACUCAUCAUCGACGCAUCAGACAUUGGCGGGAAAGAUGACAAGUACAAGGCAGAGGUGUACGAGCAGGAGUGGACUCACAAACGCCAGCUCCUCUCAUUCGCCAAGGUGAAAUAG
Molecule: ribosomal RNA, 303 nt
Filed under: Triticum aestivum (bread wheat)
Lineage: Eukaryota; Viridiplantae; Streptophyta; Magnoliopsida; Poales; Poaceae
Description: partial small subunit ribosomal RNA
Source: RNAcentral